Cololabis saira (Pacific saury) is the source of this 649-nucleotide long non-coding RNA. RefSeq lists it as uncharacterized. The transcript has 3 exons. Lineage: Eukaryota; Metazoa; Chordata; Actinopteri; Beloniformes; Belonidae. The record is from RefSeq and is a predicted model, not a curated record.
GAGACAGGCACACACAUCAAACACAGUGUGUGUCAUGGUACAUGACACUGUUGUGUGAUAGCUGGUGUGUAAACGCUCCUGUAACAGACUGGAUCUGGCAGUGGAUUUAAGAGAGAUGGUUUCUCUAACAACGGAGCUUGAGCUGUUGACGAUUGUGUUUUCCAUCCUGGUCUUCACCCUCUUCACACUCACCGGGAUGAUCAAAGAGGAAUAUCCACACUGGAAUGAGAUGAAUGUGAAACCACAGAGUGAGGAGGUGACGGUGUGAGGGGCCUGAGAACUGAGGCGGAAACCUCAGAAGAUAACGAAAUGUUUUUACUGUUCAGUUCCUCAGAAGCACACAUUAUCAACAGCCUUGAGUCUGACUGUAAGGUUUUAUCAGUUCCUAGAACAAAGCCUGUCAGAGUGACCUCUGAACAUGCCUGUGUGUGUGUGUGAGUGUGUGUGUGUUUGUGUGCUUUGUUAGAGGAUCUAAGGAGUGGCCUACGUUAUGUACUGUAAAAAAAAAAAAAUCAUUAAAGGAUCACCUGCUUCCACAAACCAAUACAAAACAGUCUCUCAUUCCUGCUGUUGAUCCUUGUUUGAAUGUGAAGACAGGAAUAAAAAAAAAAAGAGCUCUUGGAACAGGAACCGAUUGUGCAAAUCUUCU